UUUUGGAUAAUGGGAAAUAUGAG
Molecule: non-coding RNA, 23 nt
Filed under: Cricetulus griseus (Chinese hamster)
Lineage: Eukaryota; Metazoa; Chordata; Mammalia; Rodentia; Cricetidae
Source: RNAcentral